RNAcentral lists this ribosomal RNA (253 nucleotides) under uncultured bacterium. RNAcentral describes it as "partial 16S ribosomal RNA". It matches the Rfam family "Bacterial small subunit ribosomal RNA", at positions 524 to 776 of the family's 1533-position model. The record is from RNAcentral.
UACAGAGGUCCCGAGCGUUGUUCGGAUUCACUGGGCGUAAAGGGUGCGUAGGUGGCGUGGUAAGUUUGAGGUGAAAGCUCCGGGCUCAACCCGGAAAAUGCCUUGAAGACUAUCCCGCUAGAGGGUUGGAGGGGAGACUGGAAUUCUCGGUGUAGCAGUGAAAUGCGUAGAUCUCGAGAGGAACACCAGUGGCGAAGGCGGGUCUCUGGACAACACCUGACGCUGAGGCACGAAAGCCAGGGGAGCAAACGGG